AAUGUUUGACAAUGGGGGCAACGCUGAUCUAGCCAGUCCUCGUGUGUGAAGUAGGUCUNUGGUUUNUNAAGCACUUUAAGUUGGGNGAAUGGGCUUUAGGUUAAUACCCUGAAGUUUUGACGUUACCAACAGAAUAAGCACCGGCUAACUCUGUGCCAGCAGCCGCGGUAAUACAGAGGGUGCAAGCGUUAAUCGGAAUUACUGGGCGUAAAGCGCGCGUAGGUGGUUCAGUAAGAUGGGUGUGAAAUCCCCGGGCUUAACCUGGGAACUGCUUUCAUAACUGCUGAGCUAGAGUACGGUAGAGGGUAGUGGAAUUUCCUGUGUAGCGGUGAAAUGCAUAGAUAUAGGAAGGAACACCAGUGGCGAAGGCGACUACCUGGACUGAUACUGACACUGAGGUGCGAAAGCGUGGGGAGCAAAC
RNAcentral lists this ribosomal RNA (421 nucleotides) under uncultured bacterium. Its description in RNAcentral is "partial 16S ribosomal RNA". It matches the Rfam family "Bacterial small subunit ribosomal RNA", at positions 360 to 773 of the family's 1533-position model. The record is from RNAcentral.